This 253-nucleotide ribosomal RNA is filed under the name uncultured bacterium. RNAcentral's name for it is "partial 16S ribosomal RNA". It matches the Rfam family "Bacterial small subunit ribosomal RNA", at positions 524 to 776 of the family's 1533-position model. The record is from RNAcentral.
UACGUAGGGUGCGAGCGUUAAUCGGAAUUACUGGGCGUAAAGCGUGCGCAGGCGGUUUUGUAAGCCAGGUGUGAAAUCCCCGGGCUUAACCUGGGAAUGGCAUUUGGGACUGCAAGGCUGGAGUGUGGCAGAGGAGACUGGAAUUCCCGGUGUAGCAGUGAAAUGCGUAGAUAUCGGGAGGAAUACCGAUGGCGAAGGCAGGUCUCUGGGCUGACACUGACGCUCAUGCACGAAAGCGUGGGGAGCAAACAGG